This is an RNA transcript of Arachis stenosperma, 3394 nucleotides long. It is a transcript of the gene named probable glutamyl endopeptidase, chloroplastic, with no coding region annotated. The record is from RefSeq and is a predicted model, not a curated record. Lineage: Eukaryota; Viridiplantae; Streptophyta; Magnoliopsida; Fabales; Fabaceae. The transcript is spliced from 12 exons.
UAUCAGUUUAUCGAAUCAUAUUAUCGGUCAAUGAGAUGUUGCGACUUCACAAAGUGUACCAUCGUUUAUCUCUCCUCCAUUUCUCGCCAUUAUCGCUCCCUUCUUCUCUUCCUUCCUCUCUCUCCCCUCCACUCCCUCGCCUCUCCCUCCGCCACACUCACAGAUUCUCUCUCCCUUCCAUGGUCACUUCCCGCCCCCGCAAUUUAGCGCCUAUCACUGCUCUUCCUGCUGAAGACAGUGCCGCUGCUGCCUCUAACGGCACCGUUUCUUCCUCUGCUGCAAUCACUACUUUCGCUGAUUACGAAGAUGACUCAAGCUUAGGAGCGGGGUAUCGUGUUCCUCCACCUGAGAUCAAGGACAUUGUCGAUGCACCACCAGUUCCUUCAUUGUCAUUUUCUCCACUUAGAGAUAAAAUUCUUUUUCUGAAGCGAAGAGCCUUACCUCCACUCUCAGAAUUAGCAAGACCGGAGGAGAAGUUGGCUGGUGUACGUAUUGAUGGAAAAAGUAAUUGUAGGAGUCGUAUGUCUUUUUACACUGGUAUAGGGAUCCAUCGGAUUCUUCCGGAUGAUACACUAGGCCCAGAGACUGAAGUUCAUGGUUUACCUGAGGGUGCAAAGAUAAAUUUUGUUACUUGGUCUCCAGAUGGCCGUCAUUUAUCUUUUAGCAUUCGUGUGAAUCAAGAGGACGGUGAUAGCAGUAAAUUUACAGUAUGGAUUGCAGAUGUGGAAACAGGGAUGGCUAGGCCUUUGUUUCAGUCACCUGAUAUACACUUGAAUGCAGUAUUUGAAAAUUAUGUUUGGGUAGAUAACUUUUCAUUGUUAGUUUGCACUAUUCCACUAUCUCGUGGGGCUUUGCCAAAAAAACCUUUGGUUCCCAGUGGCCCCAAAAUUCAAUCUAAUGAGGAGAAAAACAUUAUUCAAGUAAGAACAUUCCAGGAUUUGCUGAAGGAUGAAUAUGAUGAAGAUUUGUUUGACUACUAUGCCAGAUCACAGCUUGUUUUAGCUUCUUUGGAUGGUGCAACAAAGGAAAUUGGUCCCCCCGCUGUUUAUACUUCUAUGGAUCCUUCCCCGGAUCACAAGUAUGUUUUGAUUAGUUCGAUUCACAGGCCAUACUCUUUUACUGUGCCUUGUGGAAGAUUUCCAAAGAAGGUAGAGUUAUGGAGAGCUGAUGGGAAGUUAGUGCGGGAGCUUUGUGACUUGCCCCUUGCAGAGGACAUUCCUAUUGCAUUCAAUAGUGUGCGAAGAGGGAAGCGUUCCAUUAAUUGGAGAUCUGACAAACCAUCUUCACUUUACUGGGUAGAAACUCAAGAUGGAGGCGAUGCAAAGGUGGAAGUUUCUCCUCGUGAUAUAAUUUAUACAGAGCCUGCUGAACCAUUAGACGGUGAACAACCAGCUAUUCUACACAAGCUUGAUCUCCGUUAUGGAGGGAUUUCUUGGUGUGAUGAUUCAUUGGCUUUGGUAUACGAGUCUUGGUAUAAAACACGGCGAAUAAGAACAUGGGUAAUAUCUCCUGGAGCUGAGGACGUGGCUCCACGAAUUCUCUUUGAUCGAUCAUCAGAAGACGUCUACUCUGAUCCUGGAUCUCCCAUGCUGCGGAGAACUCAGGCUGGGACAUAUGUUAUUGCCAGGAUAAAGAAGGAAAAUGAUGAAGGUAGAUAUAUUAUACUGAAUGGAAGUGGUGCUACACCAGAAGGGAACAUUCCAUUCCUUGAUCUAUUUGACAUAAAUAGCGGUAAAAAGGAACGGAUAUGGGAGAGUGAUAAGGAGAGAUACUAUGAAACUGUCGUUGCUUUGAUGUCUGAUCAAGAAGAAGGGGAUCUACAUUUAGAUCUACUGAAAAUUCUGAUUUCAAAAGAGUCAAAAACCGAAAACACCCAGUAUCACUUUGUCAGAUGGCCAGAUAAAAAAUUAGUUCAGAUUACAAGCUUCCCUCAUCCAUAUCCUCAACUUGAAUCAUUGCAGAAAGAGAUGAUCAGGUAUCAAAGGAAAGAUGGGGUUCAACUCACUGCUACCUUAUACCUGCCACCGGGUUACAAUCCAUCAACAGAUGGCCCUUUGCCAUGUCUGGUUUGGUCUUACCCUGGAGAAUUUAAGAGCAAAGAAGCUGCUGGGCAGGUUCGUGGUUCUCCAAAUGAAUUUCCUGGGAUAGGUCCCACAUCAGCCCUUCUUUGGUUGGCUAGAGGAUUUGCAAUUCUAUCAGGACCUACUAUUCCUAUUAUUGGUGAGGGCGAUGAGGAGGCAAAUGAUAGGUAUGUGGAACAAUUAGUUGCAAGUGCAGAAGCUGCUGUAGAGGAAGUUAUUCGGCGUGGGGUUGCUCAUCCAAAGAAAAUAGCUGUUGGUGGACAUUCCUACGGAGCAUUCAUGACUGCCAACCUCCUGGCACAUGCACCUCAUCUUUUCUGUUGUGGAAUUGCUCGCUCUGGUGCUUACAACAGAACACUUACUCCCUUUGGAUUUCAGAAUGAAGAUAGAACUCUUUGGGAGGCCACCAAUACUUAUGUAGAGAUGAGUCCUUUCAUGUCAGCUAAUAAAAUUAAGAAGCCGAUCUUGCUUAUACAUGGGGAAGAGGAUAAUAAUUCUGGAACAUUAACCAUGCAGUCAGACAGAUUCUUCACCGCUCUGAAGGGUCAUGGGGCUCUUUGUCGACUGGUGAUUCUGCCUUAUGAGAGCCAUGGUUAUACCGCCAGAGAGAGCAUAAUGCAUGUUCUAUGGGAAACAGACAGAUGGCUGUACAAAUACUGUGUAUCAAGCAGUUCUGAUGCAGGCUCAGAUUCAGUCAAAGAGAAAGAAAGUAUAGAAACUACAGAUGCUGAAAAGAAAGUUGUUGCUACCAGUGGAGGUGGCAGUAAAGAGGAGUCUGAUAUUGAGUAUGAUGAAGUUCAUUCUCUGCCAAGGUCAUCCUUGUGAACACUCUAGUCCAGGCUGUCCGUAUACUUGCUACCUACCUCGUAACCCUUAGCAUCCAAAGAAUUUAAGAAGAAUUCUCAGAACUUUGGCCCGCCAAGGAUCAAAAUAGAAGCACCCAAAAGAUGCACGUGGAAUAUAGAACAGUAACAUGCCUGGGGCUGGAGUGGAGGAUACGAUGAAAUUGACAAGGAUCAUCGUUAUUCGAGUGUGGGACACUACACCCACCAUGUCAUGUCCUUAACAACCUUCCACAGUAUUUCUGGUCGUGGCACUUGCCAAUUCAUAUCUAGAUGGAUUCACCGGGAUGUCUCAUAUAUUGCUUGUUUUCAGAAUGAUAAUUAGCUGCUUUGCCAAUUAAUUUUGCAUUUGGCAAGGCAAUUUGAAUGUAAGAGGAAUAAGCAUUGUACAAACCAAACCAUUUAAUUGAUCCAAUGCAGCUGAACCCUUCUUGCUGCCUUGGUUUUGGAGUUGUGAUUCUUUUCAUUGCA